CCGCGUGUGUGAAGAUGCCCUGCGGGUAGUAAAGCCUUUUGUCAGGAACGAAACGGUGGGGGCUAAUACCUCCUGCUAAUGACGGUACCUGAAGAAUAAGCACCGGCUAACUACGUGCCAGCAGCCGCGGUAAUACGUAGGGUGCGAGCGUUAAUCGGAAUUACUGGGCGUAAAGCGUGCGCAGGCGGUUGUGCAAGACAGAUGUGAAAUCCCCGGGCUUAACCUGGGAAUGGCAUUUGUGACUGCACGGCUAGAGUGUGUCAGAGGGGGGUAGAAUUCCACGUGUAGCAGUGAAAUGCGUAGAUAUGUGGAGGAAUACCGAUGGCGAAGGCAGCCCCCUGGGAUAACACUGACGCUCAGGCACGAAAGCGUGGGGAGCAAACAGGAUUAGAUACCCUGGUAGUCCACGCCCUAAACGAUGUCAACUAGUUGUCGGGUCUUAAUUGACUUGGUAACGCAGCUAACGCGUGAAGUUGACCGCCUGGGGAGUACGGUCGCAAGAUUAAAACUCAAAGGAAUUGACGGGGACCCGCACAAGCGGUGGAUGAUGUGGAUUAAUUCGAUGCAACGCGAAAAACCUUAUCUAUCCUUGACAUGUCAGGAACCCCGGUGAGAGGUGGGGGUGGUCCAAACGAGAGCCUGAACACAGGUGCUGCAUGGCUGUCGACAGUCGUGUCGUGAGAUGU
RNAcentral lists this ribosomal RNA (686 nucleotides) under uncultured archaeon. RNAcentral's name for it is "bacterial SSU rRNA". It matches the Rfam family "Bacterial small subunit ribosomal RNA", at positions 397 to 1075 of the family's 1533-position model. The record is from RNAcentral.